UCAGAUUCGUCGUUACCUCCGCUCGUUCCCGCCAGUACACCGAUGCCCCGAACCCCGACUCCGAGCUCGACUUCUCUGGCAACGAUGUGCUUGGGGAGCUCGAGUCUUCGAAACCAAUCAACCCAUUUCCAGAAUGUGGAGUUGGGUCCGAAAGGAUCGAAUCUCAUUAGAACCGCAUGCCUGAAUUUCGCCCGCGACAGAUACGACGUUAUGAGGAAACGGAACUCCACCGUCUUCAAACCAGGCCAAGAAUCACAACACUGUGAAGGAAAGGAGUUUUCUUCUUUCUUUGUUCGUUUUGAAAACCUGAAGAAGAGAGAAUAGAUAGUUUUCCUAGGAGCUUGUGAAUGGUCAUGUUGUUUUGGAUAAUAUCACCAUGUUGUGUCAACUAUAAAGUGAUGGCCUAUUAUCAUAAAUCUACAGAUUUGUAAUUUGUUUUUUUUUUCACGAACAAUGAAUGAUUUAGAAAAUAUUUUCUUAGAAAUGAUUGUUUGUAUCGCUUGAAAUUAUUAGUCAAUGAUAAAUAUUUUCAUAAUUGAUAACAAUAAAUAUCUAAAUAUUUUCGUGGAUGAUGAAAAUAUUUUCUUCAUUCAUUUUUGUAAGUGAUACAAGCGACCAUUUUUUAGAAACUAGACAUUUUCUCCUGAGCUUUCUUUUAUCCAGAAUUCUGUUAGUAAGCUAAAUGUAAUAUUGUUAAAAGCACCUUUGUUGGCAUCUUAGUCCAUCUUUUUCUGCAUAGUGGCAACAACAUGGUGCCUUGUGUGCAUCCUCCUUUACCUAGAAAAGAGAAUCCUAAGGACUCGCCUUUAGGUUUCAAGCUUACCCAUCCACUAUCAGGCCUUUCUAUGUUACUAUGCCUUGCUCUCGAAUUGAAGUAUUUGACUAGAACCUGGAGCCAAAGAUUUUCGACGACGUAACCUGAAAAGAGGCAAUUCAUAUUACAUUGGGCAAGUGAUAAUAAUACAUAUUAAGAAUUUAGCUGGUGAUCAAUUUGACGGUAUGCAUUCUGAUUUGGAGGUUAGCUAUUCAAUGUAUCUAAUGACUGUCCAAUGCAAUAUCAUCACCAAAUAGGUAUCCGACAACAUAGCUUUACUUGAGAAACCGGAGGUUUCCUCAUUUGCAAAUAGAAACAGUCGCUUAACUCAUAGUCAGAAGGUUUUAACAAGACAUUUCCUGAUAGGUAUUUGUCAAAGAAACAUAUUCAGGUCUUAGCAGAGUGUGGAUGCCCCAGACAGACAGAAAAGUGGUGAACUCUGGUUUGCAGCUCCUGCAACUUGAGGGGAAACUGUGAGAGAGCAUUUGUGAAGGCGCGUGAAGAUGAAGGAGGGGGGCACGGUUGAUGUUAUGCGAAUCUUGUUGACAUAAGGACUUGACCCCAUAAGCGAUACUGUGGAGAAUAAACCAUGUCUGACUAGAACAGUUAAGGAAUCAGUCAGAGCACUGCUAAAGCAAAUGACAGAGUAUGGCACCGAUGUACUUGGCUCUGAUUUGUCGAAAUCCACACCAGCUGGUGAUUUAUCCUCACAUUCAAGUUCGGAAGAGAAAGGCUACAAAGAUGUUCCAAUGAAACAAGGAGAUUGGCAUUGCCCCAAGUGCAACUUCUUAAACUUUGCUAAGAACAUCAAAUGCUUGCGAUGCGAUACUUUUUCUCCGGAAAGAUUGAAUCAACUACUGGAAGACCAAGAUCAUCUUCUGCUAAAGAAAGGAGACUGGAUAUGUGACAAGUGAUUGCUUCUCAUGCCUUUUCUCACUUGUUCACUGAUUUGUGGUGAGCAGAGCUCCUUGCUUAUAGAAACUGUUGCAUUUUGCUGAUGCAAUUUCUUAAAUUUUGCGAAGAAUACUAGAUGUUUGCGGUGCAAAGAGAAACCCCCCCGGAAAGGCAACUCAAUCCUGGGGAGUGGGAAUGUGAAUCGUGCAAUUACAUCAACUUUAGAAGGAAUAUGGUAUGCUUGAAGUGUGAUUAUAGAAGGCCUAAAGCAUCAAAUUUAAAGGGCUUGUCUCAACGAGAGCAUGAUGCUGGAAAUCACAAUCAAGGUCAUGGAGCCGUUGAAGAU
RNA transcript from Eucalyptus grandis, 2054 nucleotides. RefSeq lists it as uncharacterized. The record is from RefSeq and is a predicted model, not a curated record. Lineage: Eukaryota; Viridiplantae; Streptophyta; Magnoliopsida; Myrtales; Myrtaceae. The transcript has 5 exons.